GAUGGGAGCUUGUGACACAAGCUCCAGCCUGUACCUUUUGAAAGGUAUUUCUGGGAAGAGUUCCUUAUACUCCCCAGAAGUCCCAGCGAAAGGAGCUCCCAUUGCCUACAGCAGCAACCUUGAUAAUGUGCCUUCCUGUUGGCUUUUCCUUUCCUGUCUCAGGGUCCCCAACUCCUUUCUCCUCCUUUUGUGAUCAUCUCCCAAAUAAACUAGCUCCACCCAAGUCCAUGUUUUGGGCUUCAUUUUUGGGGAAAACAAACUCAGACAGCCACUGCUGAACAAGCAAAAGGGCACCCAUACAGAUGACUGAAGCCGUCACUAAUGCUUCCUUGCUCAAACUGAAGACCCACGCCAAAACUGGUCAUCUAGCCACCUCAACCCGCGUCAUCGGGACUAGGAAGAAGCCAGCAUUGGAGGUGACACAGAAGCCUGCCAACAUCCAGGAUCAUAGGAGGGUCUGCAAAUGCUGCCUUACGUGUCUUGGGAGGUACUCCUUUUGGAUGAAGGGACUCGCCAAACAACAGAACAAACUCUCCUAGAAGACUGAGAGGACAGCAAGCAGCUGUCCACACACAGAUUGAGACAACUGUGACCAUCUGCAGUUUAAAUGGCAGUCACGUUUUCACAUCCCUCCAAGGACUAGUGCUCAAAAAUGUGCUCUUCUUCCUGUCCUGGCCUGCAUGGAGCACCCUAAUGAGGAGUCAGUGUGAUUUCAGCUGGACCUUCACUCUGGAAGGCCUUUGGGAGGGGAAGGGAUAGGAAUUGGUCUUUUCUGCCUUCCCCCACCCCCUGCCGCCCCACCCCACCUCCAAGCCUCUUUCCAUUCUGCCAUAUGUAAAUACAUACAUUCACACCCACUAGCAUGGGUAACUUUGAGCGAAGUAUAGGUUUUGUUUUGUUUAGAGAGCCCAUUUUAAACAAACAGAUGAAGUGCACAUAAUAUUUUUGUUACUCAAAAUCUGGACAACUUAGCAUUAACAUUGAAUCACUGAAAAAGCUCCAAGUAAAACUGUAUAAUGUAAUACACUCUGCCAAUGCUUACAUGUUUUUUUCUUAUAAAAUCACAAAAGUUAUGCUUAAAAUAAAUAAAUAAAAACCAGUCUCUA
Macaca mulatta (Rhesus monkey) is the source of this 1106-nucleotide long non-coding RNA. RefSeq lists it as uncharacterized. The record is from RefSeq and is a predicted model, not a curated record. Lineage: Eukaryota; Metazoa; Chordata; Mammalia; Primates; Cercopithecidae.